UCAGAGCGCCCUCUCUAAUGGCACUCACUGAUCAUGACAGAUGAAGCGAUGCGUUCUGCGAGCUCGGUGCCCCCCAAUCGGCGCGGCCUGGAGGAAGGUGCUGACCGCCAGGAAGCCGACAUCAACCCCGGUGUCCUCUUCUUCGCAACCUACAGCUUCAGCAAGCAACCAGCGGCAGCCACCAUGUUUUCCAACUCCAGCAUGGAGGACACACACAACCAGCUCGAGGGAAUGACUGAAAGAUACAAUAGACAGCAGACCACAAGGACAACGGUUAGACUUGCAAGGGUUUUAGUUACCUUCUCGACGCCUCAAUGCUUAUAGUGAGAGCUCACUUUGAAUUCAUGGAGAAGCUGGGAGUUGACAAAUGGCGCUUCAUGAUAGGGAUAUUGCCCCAGACGUCUAAACUCUCGAAGUUUUGAUGUUUUGUGCGGUGUCGGAGUUCUCACCACAUCCUUUUGCUGCUCUUGUUGGGUGGCAGUUUGUGCUACACUGGCUUGCUUCCGAAGAAAUGCAUAGACAACUCGACAUACAUUGAGACAUACCCAGAUAUUGGAUAAAUUGCUUUUGGUAUACUGGUCAAAUCUUUGUAUUGGUGGGCAUUCACUGAAAGUACAGAGUUAUGCAAAACUGGACUCUUCUAUUGUUGACCUGGCUGAUCACAUCUCUUUUGCAGGUUGUUCUUCACCUGGAGCUUUAUGUAAGUACAAUCUGAAUUCUGUGUAAAUUGCCAGUAUGCCUUUGACUGUUGAACACAAGUAAAAUUUCUUAUAUUUGCACGCAAGUUGUGUGGCAGACUGGCAGUACAUCGCGUUGCUAGGAGGUAGCAUCAUUAGUGUUUUUCGUUGGAACAUUUAGGUUUUACCGGCAUCAACUUGAAUGCACAUGAUCUAUUUGUAAUCACAAUGCCCUUAGCAAUUCUCCCAUCAGUCUGGCUCAGGAACCUCAGCCUCCUCUCAUAUAUUUCUGGUAAGUAGAAAUGUAGAAUGUCUAAAACAUUCCCUCUUAUUUCUGAUCUUUCAGAGCAAUGCAAGACUAUUAAGUUAUAAUAAAUUUUUCUAAAGAAUGACAAUAUCAUUUGACUCUUACUGAUAAUCUUUCAUUCAAUUUUUAACAACAAAAAUAUCUUUUGGUGAAUGAACAUGGCAAUAGUUCAUCCUAACAGUUUUUUUUAUACUCCAUCCUAACAGUUCAACUCCAAACUUUUUUUUUUUUGAGGGCGUUCAACUCCAAACAUUGAGCAGCAGUCAUGGUCGAAAUCACGGAUACCAGAGAAGAAGAGUCAGUGUCUGCUUCUUUGCCAUUACAUCUUUUGCUUUUAAUUAUGGGUCUCAUUAUGCUAAUCCUUCAGGUAACAUUGUGAGAAUAAGUAUACUUAAUUUCUCUAGCUUAUAUCAAUAUUUGAAUAUAUCUGAACUGCAUGGGUUCUGAAUCAACUAAUUUGGUGAUUUCCUUCUAUAUUUUUUUCUGAUACAUAUAUAUUUAAAUGCAUAGAGAUGUUUUCAUCGACAAUCUUAAAUUUCCUUGUUUGGGUUCUGCAUUUUUUUCAACUAUGACAUGUGUUUCAUUUUAUCCUUUUCAACAAUAUGAUAGUUUAAGUUAGAAUUGAUUAUAUGUUUUAUCCCACAGUAGUGGAUACGUUCACACAAUUGCUACAAAAUAAGUAUACAAGAGGAUGAUUAGUUUAUGCUUGAUGGUACAGUGUUCCAUUAAAACUCCAUAGUUCAGUGUCCCUUUAUCCGUAUUAUUGAUUGGUACAGUCCUGCAUUGAUCAUGCAUGUGAAAAAGCUCUCAAUGGCUCUAGCAAGGCAGUAUAGGGAUAUCUCUAUUAUUCUGCUCUUCUUCUCGAUAGACAGUGCCAAACCUGUCGGAGGCUACCAUGUGCAAACAAUUUAAUUAGUAUCAUGAAGCUACAUCAUUAAGAGGGCCUAGAAGGAUAUAUUCAUUCAUUUGCCUUUAUGAAUUACUGCUUUUUGUAACACCAAAGUAGCCUAGCUAGACUCCAGGCUUGAUGCUCUAUAAGAUUGAUUUUGUGUAUAGUAGCAUGUACAUUGUAUAGAUAUGCAUGCUGUUUGUUCCACCGCAUGCGCAACAUCAUUCUGCACCUGUGAGAAUCAUCUGUACUUUAUGCCUGUCUUUUUACCUAUGUAACAUUCUGCAUCUGUGAGAAUCUGCUAUGCUUUAUGCCUGCCAUUUUAUCAAUCUGGAUGCUAACUAGUGCCAGUAAUGUCUCAGUGACAAGAAAUGUAUCAAAAGUCAAGAGUAUGCAUCAGAUAUAGUUUGCCUAUUCUGAAAAAUGUUCUUCCAAAGACAAAGGGAUUCAAUAGCUGUUUGCAAGAGCCGAGGAGUUCCAUAGAUGCUGUUUAUGAUAUCACAAAUGCAUAUAAGCAUCGGUUACCGACUUUUCUUUACAAUGUUUAUGGCAUUGAUCCUUCCAAAAUCCACACCAUAGCAACAUGUCUCUGACAUACCAACAAUGGAAGGUGAAGU
This is a long non-coding RNA of Setaria italica (foxtail millet), 2490 nucleotides long. RefSeq lists it as uncharacterized. The transcript is spliced from 5 exons. Lineage: Eukaryota; Viridiplantae; Streptophyta; Magnoliopsida; Poales; Poaceae. The record is from RefSeq and is a predicted model, not a curated record.